CCAAUGCUUCUAAUUUCAUAGCAAGCUCGCUUGCUAUGAAAUAGGCAACCAGUAAUAUAAGCAAGUGUGUGCUAUUUAUAGCGCUAGCCUACAAACCUAUAAUUAUAUUAACUCUAAGAGAAAUUUAAUAAUAAACGAAGUGAAUUGAAAUAUCUUAGUAACUUUAGGAAAAGAAAUCAAAAGAGAUUCUAUGAUUAGCGUGAGCUAAAAUAGACUAGCCUAAAAAGUCAAAUGGUGGAUAAACUGUUUAAAUUAAAUGGGGAACCUUCCUCAAAGGCUAAAUAUAAUAUAUAAGCGAUAGUGGAAAGUACCGUGAGGGAACCAAAACAAAAACAGUGAUUUUAUAAGCAGUUCGGAAAAAUAAAAAAAAAGUUAGAACGUACCUUUUGCAUAAUGGGUCACCAAGUUAACAUUAGAUGCGAGUAGGAGGGAGCAGCCCCGUGCAUACGUAGUUAAACCGAGCGUUAAAAUAACGGUAAGUAUCUAAAGUUAGACCCGAAGCCUGGUGAUUUUACCAUAAUCAGGAUUAUAAAAGUCCGAACGGAAUAUUGUAGCAUAAAUAUCCGAAGAAUUAUGGUAGGUGUAGUGAAAGACAAUACUGACCAGGAUAGCUGGUUUUCUGCGAAACCUAUAACAGUAGGCAAUUUAAGUAUAAUAUCUUAGCAGGUACAGAAUUUAAUCUCAGACAAGACAUAAGGCUUAGCUUGUUAGCAAGUAAAGCUCAUGUUUUAUUUUGUACAAAUUGGGGGAUCAUGAAGAUUUUAUCAGUGAGUAUGUAGACUCGGAAUGGCAAAGAUAUAUCUUAAAUCAUCAGACAUAGAAUGAUAAGGUUGUAUGUCAAAAGGGAAACAGCCCAGAACAAGAGUUAAGGUUCCUAAAUUAUUAGUUGAGUGAAAUUAAGAAGGUUUUUAUUAAAGUCGACAAGGAGAUAGGCUUAGAAGCAGCCAUAAUUUUAUGACCUCGUAACAGAGCGCUUGUUAAGUUUUAAAAGCAUCGAAAAUUUAUCGGAUCUAAACAAUAUACCGAAACCUUGUCCAUAUUAUUUUAUAAUUAAAGCUUAAUUAUAAUUAAAUGGGGUAGCAGAACGUUGAGCUAAAUUAAGAUUUUUAUUUUUUAAAUGAAAUUAUAAUAAUUUAACUCAAGUGAUAAUGGUGACAUGAGUAACUAAAAGAAAAAAUAAAAUUUUUCCGCCUAAAGCUUAUGGAUGUAAUUAAGUAACGGCCUCUAAGUUUAUAUUAUCUAAAGAUUUAAACGAUGAGAUAAUCUUUUGUACUAAGGACGACAUUUUAAGUGAAAAAUGUACUGGAAAAAUAGUACUAAAUUAAUGGCUAUAGCUAAUUAGGGCUAUAAAAAAAAAUUUAUUUUUUUUUUAUAAAGCUCGCUAUAGCUAUAAAUGAAAAGUAACCGUACCUAGAAUCUGAAACAAGUAAGCUAGUAGAGAAUACGAAGGCGUAAAUGAGCUAACAAUCAUAAAGGAACUCGGCAAAUUGACUACCGUAACUUCGGGAUAAGGAGAGCUCAUUAUUCUUGAUUAAUAUCAGGUAAAGAGGAAGAAGCAUGAAAUAGUGUUGUACGACUGUUUAAUUAAAACACAGCACUUUGCUGAAAGAUUAAAAAUCUAAGUAUAGAGUGUGAUGUCUGCCCGGUGCCGGCUGGUUAACAGAUAUAAUUAAAUAUACUAAUAUUUGAUGUAGACGGAAACCCCGGUUAAAGGCGGCCUUAACGUGAGGGUCCUAAGGUAGCGAAAUGCCUUGGCCGUUAAAUGCGGUCUUGCAUGAAUGAUGUAACGAUACAACAGCUGUCUCUAUGAUUGACUCAGUGAAAUUGGAAUAGCUGUGCAGAUACAGUUUACCUCUAGUUAGACGAGAAGACCCUAUGCAGCUUUACUGUCACUAAUUAUAGAGUAUGAUAAACAAUUUUCAGAUUAUAAGGUAAUUGACGGCUAGCUUGUUCAGCAAGCUAGCUCUAUGACAAUGAGAAUCCUUUAUUUUUUUUUCAUAUGAAUGAAUUGGUUUAGGAUUAUGAGUAGGUAGCUGCUUCUGCUACUUGGCGCAAGCAUUGCUUGCGUCAAGUGUCUGAAGUAUGCAUUCCAGCUCAUGCAUAGUAAAUCAACCUAAUUCAGCUUAUUUUCCUUUCUGCCAUAAGCGCAUAAUGAUAGAUUUAACUUAAAUUUUGAUUUAUGCCGAGCCCCUCCGGGGCUACUGCAGAAAUAGAUAAGUACCCUUGGCUAAGGAACUAUCGCUAGGGGACAGUUUAUGUGGGGCACAGACCCUGUAAAGAGUAAACAGGAGUGUCUAAUAAUUUAUAAUUAUUUUGUUUGCGAUUUAAGAUAGUGAAACUAUUUUUAAUCAUAUAAAAUUAUUUAUAUGUACAUUCGUUGUAUAUAUAUUUAAAAAAAGGUAGGAUUUUCACUAUAUAGAAAUUAGAGAUAAUAAAAAUAUUAAGAAUAUACCUUUCAGGUAACACUAAUAUUUUUUAGCUAUUAAGACAGGCUAUCAAGCUAGGCUCUAAUAGUUAUGUAUUAAUUAUCUAAAAAGCUCAACGGCUAAAUCUUGCCUUACUGUUUGAUUAUCAACAAAUCUUACAGUUGCGUAAGCAGGGCAUAGGAUCACAAGAUGCAACAAGGAAAGAUCUUGGAUUAUUGGAAAAGCUACGCUAGGGAUGUUUGUCCUUUAAUAUUUUAUUACACAGCGGCUUUAGUUA
RNAcentral lists this ribosomal RNA (2703 nucleotides) under Fusarium proliferatum. Its description in RNAcentral is "bacterial LSU rRNA". It matches the Rfam family "Bacterial large subunit ribosomal RNA", at positions 1 to 2519 of the family's 2925-position model. The record is from RNAcentral. Lineage: Eukaryota; Fungi; Ascomycota; Sordariomycetes; Hypocreales; Nectriaceae.